GCCUUUGUGGAUCAUGGUGAUCGCCUCGAUUUAAUAAGAGUUGUUGAAUGGUGUGAGAGGAGACGGAGGUUCGAAUCCUCCCGAAGGCA
This is a non-coding RNA of Mycena maculata, 89 nucleotides long. Lineage: Eukaryota; Fungi; Basidiomycota; Agaricomycetes; Agaricales; Mycenaceae. The record is from the annotation of a GenBank genome assembly.